GACGAACGCUGGCGGCGUGCUUAACACAUGCAAGUCGAACGGAAAGGCCCUGCUUUUGUGGGGUGCUCGAGUGGCGAACGGGUGAGUAACACGUGAGUAACCUGCCCUUGACUUUGGGAUAACUUCAGGAAACUGGGGCUAAUACCGGAUAGGAGCUCCUGCUGCAUGGUGGGGGUUGGAAAGUUUCGGCGGUUGGGGAUGGACUCGCGGCUUAUCAGCUUGUUGGUGGGGUAGUGGCUUACCAAGGCUUUGACGGGUAGCCGGCCUGAGAGGGUGACCGGCCACAUUGGGACUGAGAUACGGCCCAGAAUCCUACGGGAGGCAGCAGUGGGGAAUAUUGCACGAUGGGCGGAAGCCUGAUGCAGCAACGCCGCGUGCGGGAUGACGGCCUUCGGGUUGUAUACCGCUUUCGCCUGUGACGAAGCGUGAGUGACGGUAAUGGGUAAAGAAGCACCGGCUAACUACGUG
This 468-nucleotide ribosomal RNA is filed under the name uncultured bacterium. Its description in RNAcentral is "partial 16S ribosomal RNA". It matches the Rfam family "Bacterial small subunit ribosomal RNA", at positions 28 to 507 of the family's 1533-position model. The record is from RNAcentral.